UCAUGAAAACAGAAAAGAAUAGUAAGAAGCCCAGGAUCACAAAAGCACAACGCAUGAAGGAGGUCCGUGAUAGCUUCCAAUAGAAAGAUGAGGAGGCGAAGGUAUCCUAGAAGACACCAAGGCUGGAUUCUCAACUAUGAUCAUCUUAUGUACUCGAGAUCCUUCGAAAGUUCCUUCAAUUUCCAUUACAGCUCAAAUUCCUCGAUUCAAUCAAGCGUGUCAGCUGCAACACGUCGAAUCUGACCUCCACCUAAACUAUUUUGGCUAACCAUAAAAUCCAAUCCAACUUCAUUCUUUCGAUUCAAUAAUUCAGCAAUCCUGGCAAAAUGAAUGCAUACGAGCGGUGAACCAGAAUUCCCGUCCAUUUAUGGGAGGAAAACUAAAAAGGAGGGAUUUUUACAUCAAGCUGAGAAGAGAGAAUAAAAAAGGAGGGAUUUUUACGUU
Molecule: long non-coding RNA, 444 nt
Filed under: Phoenix dactylifera (date palm)
Lineage: Eukaryota; Viridiplantae; Streptophyta; Magnoliopsida; Arecales; Arecaceae
Description: long non-coding RNA (PDAC_LNC001636)
Source: RNAcentral